Molecule: long non-coding RNA, 623 nt
Organism: Oreochromis aureus
Lineage: Eukaryota; Metazoa; Chordata; Actinopteri; Cichliformes; Cichlidae
Exons: 2
Source: RefSeq, a predicted model, not a curated record
UUAACUUUUAACGAGUGGAAAAAUGUUCGCUUUCAUCCUCCAGCUUCACUGUUUAUAUUAUGCUUAGAGUUGGGUGCAAAUUAGAUAUUGCAGUCUCUGUAAAACAGAGAAAAGCUUUCUGAAACUAUGCACAGUCUUUAAGACUAUAGGCUACUCUCUUUGAGAGGUUUUUCAGUGCCUGUCAAUUAUCAUUUGUUCUUUGAUAUCCUCAGUGUUUCACACUGGAUAAAAGUCGGUUAUUUUUCCAACAGAAACUUAAAUAAAGAGACAGACCUGAAGCUCCAUCACAUAAACUCAAAUAAGCCUUCCUGGAUUGGGAAUACCUGGGCCUCAUCAGACCAGCUGGUAUAUUAGAAGGAGGAGAUCAGCUGUUCAACGCUGGAUUGUUGUGAAGGCUCUAAUUCCCCGGACUCGUCGCCGUGUUUCCCCGUGUGGAGUGUGGAAGGAGUGACUGGUCGCUAGCAGAGAAGAGAGAGGUUGAACUGAGGGCGUGUGUGAUUUCCCUGUUUUCCCUGGAGCCCUGGACCUCUGCCCCUCACGUCUUGUAUAUAGCACUAACCCCGCACUGUCUGUACAUACACUUGGUGAAGAUCUGUAAAUAAACCGUCUCUGUUUAAACGCUA